Molecule: long non-coding RNA, 591 nt
Filed under: Ananas comosus (pineapple)
Lineage: Eukaryota; Viridiplantae; Streptophyta; Magnoliopsida; Poales; Bromeliaceae
Description: long non-coding RNA (ACOM_LNC002250)
Source: RNAcentral
AAUACAUUCUAUUUUGGAGUAUAUGAUAAACAUCCAUCUAUUUAAUGGAUAAAAUUAUUUGGGACAAUUGCUUAUAUAUUUUUGAAAAUUUUUUAACUUUUUAAUUUAUCCUUCUUAAAAGGUUAAUAUUAAAAAUACUUUUUUUACGUUACAAUCUAUUUCAAAUAUACCCUUAUAGAGUUAAAUUCUGUUAAUAAACUGUUAUAGCUGUCAUCUCUAUAAAAUUACUAUUUUGCCAUUUCAAAUAUACACUUCUACCAUCACCGAUUUUUCUUAUUUGCCGUUAAAUUAGGGGUACAAAAAGUAUUCUAAUUUUUUAUCUUUUCAAAUAUACCUUUCUACCAUCAUCAUCAUUUCUUAUUUGCCCUUAAGUUAAGGACAAAAUAGGCAUUUUAAUUUUAUGUAACUCUAGUAGAUAUUUAACUCACGUUUAAUUCAAGUUUACUUAACAGGUGAUAACUGUAGAAAUAUUUUGGAAUAACGGAGGAACAUAUGAGAGGUAUAUUGGAAAGAAAAAACAAGUAGGAAUAAAUGAGAUAUUUCUGAAAUUUUGAGGAAUAUAUAGGCAAUUAUCCCAAAUUAUUUUAAUAC